GGAGCUAACGCGUUAAGUCGACCGCCUGGGGAGUACGGCCGCAAGGUUAAAACUCAAAUGAAUUGACGGGGGCCCGCACAAGCGGUGGAGCAUGUGGUUUAAUUCGAUGCAACGCGAAGAACCUUACCUGGUCUUGACAUCCACAGAACUUUCCAGAGAUGGAUUGGUGCCUUCGGGAACUGUGAGACAGGUGCUGCAUGGCUGUCGUCAGCUCGUGUUGUGAAAUGUUGGGUUAAGUCCCGCAACGAGCGCAACCCUUAUCCUUUGUUGCCAGCGGUCCGGCCGGGAACUCAAAGGAGACUGCCAGUGAUAAACUGGAGGAAGGUGGGGAUGACGUCAAGUCAUCAUGGCCCUUACGACCAGGGCUACACACGUGCUACAAUGGCGCAUACAAAGAGAAGCGACCUCGCGAGAGCAAGCGGACCUCAUAAAGUGCGUCGUAGUCCGGAUUGGAGUCUGCAACUCGACUCCAUGAAGUCGGAAUCGCUAGUAAUCGUGGAUCAGAAUGCCACGGUGAAUACGUUCCCGGGCCUUGUACACACCGCCCGUCACACCAUGGGAGUGGGUUGCAAAAGAAGUAGGUAGCUUAACCUUCGGGAGGGCGCUUACCACUUUGUGAUUCAUGACUGGGGUGAAGUCGUAACAAGGUAACCGUAGGGGAACCUGCGGUUGGA
This 674-nucleotide ribosomal RNA is filed under the name Escherichia coli. Its description in RNAcentral is "bacterial SSU rRNA". It matches the Rfam family "Bacterial small subunit ribosomal RNA", at positions 848 to 1522 of the family's 1533-position model. The record is from RNAcentral. Lineage: Bacteria; Pseudomonadati; Pseudomonadota; Gammaproteobacteria; Enterobacterales; Enterobacteriaceae.